GGAAUAUUGCACAAUGGGGGAAACCCUGAUGCAGCGACGCCGCGUGAGUGAUGAAGUAUUUCGGUAUGUAAAGCUCUAUCAGCAGGGAAGAUAAUGACGGUACCUGACUAAGAAGCACCGGCUAAAUACGUGCCAGCAGCCGCGGUAAUACGUAUGGUGCAAGCGUUAUCCGGAUUUACUGGGUGUAAAGGGUGCGUAGGUGGCGCAGCAAGUCAGAAGUGAAAACUAUGGGCUCAACCCAUAGACUGCUUUUGAAACUGCAGUGCUAGAGUGCAGGAGAGGAAAGUGGAAUUCCUAGUGUAGCGGUGGAAUGCGUAGAUAUUAGGAGGAACACCAGUGGCGAAGGCGACUUUCUGGACUGUUACUGACACUGAGGCACGAAAGCGUGGGGAGCAAACA
RNAcentral lists this ribosomal RNA (399 nucleotides) under uncultured bacterium. RNAcentral's name for it is "bacterial SSU rRNA". It matches the Rfam family "Bacterial small subunit ribosomal RNA", at positions 358 to 774 of the family's 1533-position model. The record is from RNAcentral.